Molecule: long non-coding RNA, 730 nt
Organism: Lolium rigidum
Lineage: Eukaryota; Viridiplantae; Streptophyta; Magnoliopsida; Poales; Poaceae
Exons: 2
Source: RefSeq, a predicted model, not a curated record
CGCCGCCGCCGCCGCCAAGCUUGAUAUCGAUGCCGCGAUUUCUCCGCUUCUUCUCUCUCGCCAGGUCAAAUCGAGAUCUCUUUAACUCUCACCAAGAUCUACCUCGCUAUCUCCCCGUGGACCGGAUUCAAAGGAGAAGAAGGCGAUCCAGAUUCAUCUCUGUCAAGCGAGGAGCUCUUAUGAGGCAUUUUUCCUAUAUCCAUUUCUCUACAUAUGCUGUUAUUCAUGUCUAUUGCUCCGUUUAUUUUUUCUUUUAUCGAUUUGCUUGGCUCAUCCACCUUCAGGAUCCAGAUCCGGGCAUCGUAUCCUGUAAACUCUCCGAUAAUGUCAUGUUUGAUAGAUCCAAUGAAGAGAUCGAGCGUCAAAUCGAGGAUCUAGAUCGCAAUGUUCCCGUGGAACGGCUUCCAAGGAGAAGAAGGCGAGAUCCACAUCGAGUCUGAUCUGGAAUCUGAGGAGUUUCCUUGGCUGCCAUCGGUAAAUUUGAGCAGAGGGAGCUCAAGCUGAAAGAAUUAAUCAGAUGAAGCUUCGAGAUCUCCAAACAGUUAUGCCAAUGAGUGCAUCUCUGCAGUAUAGGAAAUGCUCGUCAGUAUAGGUGUUACUCUGUUUUGCUGUAGUUGCCUUCAUAUUAUUUAAAUAGGCCUUCCGUUCAAUCUGAUCAACAAUUCAUGUAGUAAUAUAGAAGAACUAUGUUCCAGCUUAAUGUGUGAGAAACUAUAACUGUACAUGAAAA